RNAcentral lists this ribosomal RNA (253 nucleotides) under uncultured bacterium. RNAcentral's name for it is "partial 16S ribosomal RNA". It matches the Rfam family "Bacterial small subunit ribosomal RNA", at positions 524 to 776 of the family's 1533-position model. The record is from RNAcentral.
UACGUAGGGGGCAAGCGUUGUUCGGAAUUACUGGGCGUAAAGGGCGCGUAGGCGGCCUGCUAAGUCGAACGUGAAAUCCCCGGGCUUAACCCGGGAACUGCGUCCGAUACUGGUGGGCUUGAAUCCGGGAGAGGGAUGUGGAAUUCCAGGUGUAGCGGUGAAAUGCGUAGAUAUCUGGAGGAACACCGGUGGCGAAGGCGGCAUCCUGGACCGGUAUUGACGCUGAGGCGCGAAAGCUAGGGGAGCAAACGGG